Molecule: ribosomal RNA, 879 nt
Filed under: Russula paludosa
Lineage: Eukaryota; Fungi; Basidiomycota; Agaricomycetes; Russulales; Russulaceae
Description: eukaryotic LSU rRNA
Rfam family: Eukaryotic large subunit ribosomal RNA
Source: RNAcentral
AUUCCCCUAGUAACUGCGAGUGAAGCGGGAAAAGCUCAAAUUUAAAAUCUGAUGGUCUUUGGCCGUCCGAGUUGUAAUUUAGAGAAGCGUCUUCCGCGCUGGACCGUGCACAAGUCUCCUGGAAUGGAGCGUCAUAGAGGGUGAGAAUCCCGUCUUUGGCACGGACACACCAGGGCUUUUGUGAUGCGCUCUCGAAGAGUCGAGUUGUUUGGGAAUGCAGCUCAAAAUGGGUGGUGAACUCCAUCUAAAGCUAAAUAUUGGCGAGAGACCGAUAGCGAACAAGUACCGUGAGGGAAAGAUGAAAAGCACUUUGGAAAGAGAGUGAAACAGUACGUGAAAUUGUUGAAAGGGAAACGCUUGAAGUCAGUCGCGUCGACCGAGACUCAGCCUUGCCUUGGCUUGGUGUACUUCUCGGCUGACGGGUCAGCAUCAAUUUUGCCCCUUGGAUAAUGGCAAGGGAAAUGUGACACCUUUGCGGUGUGUUAUAGUCCCUCGUCGCAUGCAAGGGUUGGGAUUGAGGAACUCAGCACGCGCCUUUGGGCGUCGGGGCUUUGCCCACGAUACGUGCUUAGGAUGUUGGCGUAAUGGCUUUAAACGACCCGUCUUGAAACACGGACCAAGGAGUCUAACAUGCCUGCGAGUGUUCGGGUGGAAAACCCGUGCGCGCAAUGAAAGUGAAAGUUGGGACCUCUGUCGUGGAGGGCACCGACGCCCGGACCAGACCUUCUGUGACGGCUCUGCGGUAGAGCAUGUAUGUUAGGACCCGAAAGAUGGUGAACUAUGCCUGAAUAGGGUGAAGCCAGAGGAAACUCUGGUGGAGGCUCGUAGCGAUUCUGACGUGCAAAUCGAUCGUCAAAUUUGGGUAUAGGGGCGAAAGAC